UCGGCACUGGCGCAGGCGUAUGAAGCGAUGAGCACCGUCGGCACCAUCGGCCUCCCGUUGAUAAAAGAAGCGCGUCAAGGCUGAUGAGGCCGCCGGAUCGAAGGAGGGGGGCAUCUCCAUGGCCAAGAAGACGGUGACGCUGUCGCCCCCCAAGAGGACCAGGAUGGUGAAGAUGAAGUUCUUCCACCCGGCGGUCAUCGAUCUGUUCGAGAGGACCCUACUAAUCCCUCCGCGGAUCCCACCGUCGCUGCCCUCGUCCAGACGCAAAUUGAGCUUGAGAGGGACAUCGUUAAGCAGUGCAGGGAGAAGGGGACGUACGCGAAUGUGUCGGUCAUCGACGUGACGGGUAGGGUAGCAGCACUGCAGCAGUGUGAGAUGUUAAUGGUCGGUGCUAAUGGGGUUUUGUCUUAGUAAUUUACAAGAAAACCUUGCGUGUGAUGAUCUAGCUACCCAAAGUUGAACAAUCUUAUGUGAUUAGUGAUCUAAGUGGAACAACCUUGUGUGUGUGAUCUAGGUACCCUAAGUUGUAACGUGUCAGCUUGCUUGUAAUCCGUUCUGAGAUCAAUCUACUGGUAUAACAUCAGAAAGAGAAAAAAAAACAGCAACACGUUCACUAUCGAGUAUCGGCUGCA
This 632-nucleotide long non-coding RNA is filed under the name Setaria italica (foxtail millet). Its description in RNAcentral is "long non-coding RNA (SITA_LNC000556)". Lineage: Eukaryota; Viridiplantae; Streptophyta; Magnoliopsida; Poales; Poaceae. The record is from RNAcentral.